CGGAGGGUGCAAGCGUUAUCCGGAUUCACUGGGUUUAAAGGGAGCGUAGGUGGCUUUGUAAGUCAGUGGUGAAAGCCCGGAGCUUAACUCCGGAACUGCCAUUGAUACUGCUUAGCUUGAAUCAAGUAGAGGUGGAUGGAAUAAUACAUGUAGCGGUGAAAUGCUUAGAUAUGUAUUAGAACACCGAUUGCGAAGGCAGUUCACUAUGCUUGUAUUGACACUGAGGCUCGAAAGCGUGGGGAUCAAACAGGAUUAGAUACCCUGGUAGUCCACGCCCUAAACUAUGCAAACUCGACAUUAGCGAUAUACUGUUAGUGUCUAAGCGAAAGCGGUAAGUUUACCACCUGGGAAGUACGACCGCAAGGUUG
RNAcentral lists this ribosomal RNA (368 nucleotides) under uncultured organism. RNAcentral describes it as "bacterial SSU rRNA". It matches the Rfam family "Bacterial small subunit ribosomal RNA", at positions 526 to 896 of the family's 1533-position model. The record is from RNAcentral.